This is a long non-coding RNA of Homarus americanus (American lobster), 720 nucleotides long. RefSeq lists it as uncharacterized. NCBI's taxonomy places the organism in Eukaryota, Metazoa, Arthropoda, Malacostraca, Decapoda, Nephropidae. The transcript is spliced from 6 exons. The record is from RefSeq and is a predicted model, not a curated record.
AAACAACUGACCUGGUGGCUCAGCUGUCACCUCUGGCAGUUCUUAAUUACACACAACUACAGCACCACGUCACCUGUGUGUGGGCAGAAGCAUGGCCAAGUGUCUCAGGCAGUAGAGGCCUAAGGAGAGUGGCAAGAAUCACUGCACUACAAAGACGGAGAAACAUAAUAUUUCCUUCACCGCAAGAUGCAGCACAGUUCAACCAAAGCUGACUACAGGAGGUGGGAGAGAGACAAGGCUCUUUGGAGAAUCCCACACUGGCAAGACACAGCUAUGCCACUCACUGGCUGCUUCUUCUCUGAUUCCAGAGAGAAUGGGUGGUGGUGGUGGUGCAGGAAAAUGGCUGUACAUUGAAACAGGAACAUUUAGGUCUGAACACCUUCUGGCUGUUGCUGGCAAAUAUGGACCCACUGGUGAUAGUGUUCUUGACAAUGUAUGGACGAGCUGACACUUCUGACCGACAGACACAAUUGUUGAAUGGUGCAGCAGCCUUAAUGGCAUAUGAGGGUUACGUGAGAUAUUUAUUGAGAUCCGCUACACCUUGGGAUCCAACCUGACCAAUGGCCAAGGGUAUCCUUUAGAAAUUAAGGCUCAACUGACUGCCAAGAAGUGAAGAACAAGGGACAGGCUGAUGACAGGAGGCUACUUCACCUCCACCAGAUGACUGAGGCUGCAUCAUCACCUCCAGAUGACUGAGGCUGCAUCACCACCACCAGAUGA